CCUACGGGAGACAGCAGUGAGGAAUAUUGGUCAAUGGGCGUAAGCCUGAACCAGCCAAGUCGCGUGAGGGAUGAAGGUUCUAUGGAUCGUAAACCUCUUUUAUAAGGGAAUAAAGUGUGGGACGUGUCCUGUUUUGUAUGUACCUUAUGAAUAAGGAUCGGCUAACUCCGUGCCAGCAGCCGCGGUAAUACGGAGGAUCCGAGCGUUUUCCGGAUUUAUUGGGUUUAAAGGGUGCGUAGGCGGCCUUUUAAGUCAGCGGUGAAAGUCUGUGGCUCAACCAUAGAAUUGCCGUUGAAACUGGGAGGCUUGAGUAUGUUUGAGGCAGGCGGAAUGCGUGGUGUAGCGGUGAAAUGCUUAGAUAUCACGCAGAACCCCGAUUGCGAAGGCAGCCUGCCAAGCCAUGACUGACGCUGAUGCACGAAAGCGUGGGGAUCAAACAGGAUUAGAUACCCCAGUAGUC
This 460-nucleotide ribosomal RNA is filed under the name uncultured bacterium. RNAcentral describes it as "partial 16S ribosomal RNA". It matches the Rfam family "Bacterial small subunit ribosomal RNA", at positions 338 to 795 of the family's 1533-position model. The record is from RNAcentral.